This 579-nucleotide ribosomal RNA is filed under the name uncultured bacterium. RNAcentral describes it as "partial 16S ribosomal RNA". It matches the Rfam family "Bacterial small subunit ribosomal RNA", at positions 355 to 932 of the family's 1533-position model. The record is from RNAcentral.
UGGGGAAUUUUGGACAAUGGGCGAAAGCCUGAUCCAGCAAUGCCGCGUGUGUGAAGAAGGCCUUCGGGUUGUAAAGCACUUUUGUCCGGAAAGAAAUCCUUGGCUCUAAUACAGUCGGGGGAUGACGGUACCGGAAGAAUAAGCACCGGCUAACUACGUGCCAGCAGCCGCGGUAAUACGUAGGGUGCAAGCGUUAAUCGGAAUUACUGGGCGUAAAGCGUGCGCAGGCGGUUUGCUAAGACCGAUGUGAAAUCCCCGGGCUCAACCUGGGAACUGCAUUGGUGACUGGCAGGCUAGAGUAUGGCAGAGGGGGGUAGAAUUCCACGUGUAGCAGUGAAAUGCGUAGAGAUGUGGAGGAAUACCGAUGGCGAAGGCAGCCCCCUGGGGCCAAUACUGACGCUCAUGCACGAAAGCGUGGGGAGCAAACAGGAUUAGAUACCCUGGUAGUCCACGCCCUAAACGAUGUCAACUAGUUGUUGGGGAUUCAUUUCCUUAGUAACGUAGCUAACGCGUGAAGUUGACCGCCUGGGGAGUACGGUCGCAAGAUUAAAACUCAAUGAAUUGACGGGGUCAUAGCUG